RNAcentral lists this ribosomal RNA (209 nucleotides) under uncultured Mesotoga sp. RNAcentral describes it as "partial 16S ribosomal RNA". It matches the Rfam family "Bacterial small subunit ribosomal RNA", at positions 568 to 775 of the family's 1533-position model. Lineage: Bacteria; Thermotogati; Thermotogota; Thermotogae; Kosmotogales; Kosmotogaceae. The record is from RNAcentral.
AGCGUAGGUGGCCUAACAUGUCAACUGUGAAAAACCCGGAGCUCAACUCCGGACUUGCAGUUGAAACUGGUAGGCUUGAGGACGGUAGAGGAAGACGGAACUGCCAGUGUAGGGGUAAAAUCCUUAGAUAUUGGCAGGAACGCCGGUGACGAAGGUGGUUUUCUGGGCCGGUUCUGACACUGAUGCUCGAAAGCCAGGGGAGCGAACGG